GAUGAACGCUGGCGGCGUGCCUAAUACAUGCAAGUCGAGCGAACGGACGAGAAGCUUGCUUCUCUGAUGUUAGCGGCGGACGGGUGGGUAACACGUGGAUAACCUACCUAUAAGACUGGGAUAACUUCGGGAAACCGGAGCUAAUACCGGAUAAUAUUUUGAACCGCAUGGUUCAAAAGUAAAAGACGGUCUUGCUGUCACUUAUAGAUGGAUCCGCGCUGCAUUAGCUAGUUGGUAAGGUAACGGCUUACCAAGGCAACGAUGCAUAGCCGACCUGAGAGGGUGAUCGGCCACACUGGAACUGAGACACGGUCCAGACUCCUACGGGAGGCAGCAGUAGGGAAUCUUCCGCAAUGGGCGAAAGCCUGACGGAGCUACGCCGCGUGAGUGAUGAAGGUCUUCGGAUCGUAAAACUCUGUUAUUAGGGAAGAACAUAUGUGUAAGUAACUGUGCACAUCUUGACGGUACCUAAUCAGAAAGCCACGGCUAACUACGUG
This 497-nucleotide ribosomal RNA is filed under the name uncultured bacterium. Its description in RNAcentral is "partial 16S ribosomal RNA". It matches the Rfam family "Bacterial small subunit ribosomal RNA", at positions 28 to 507 of the family's 1533-position model. The record is from RNAcentral.